RNAcentral lists this ribosomal RNA (460 nucleotides) under uncultured bacterium. RNAcentral's name for it is "partial 16S ribosomal RNA". It matches the Rfam family "Bacterial small subunit ribosomal RNA", at positions 338 to 795 of the family's 1533-position model. The record is from RNAcentral.
CCUACGGGUGGCAGCAGUGAGGAAUAUUGGUCAAUGGGCGUAAGCCUGAACCAGCCAAGUCGCGUGAGGGAUGAAGGUUCUAUGGAUCGUAAACCUCUUUUAUAAGGGAAUAAAGUGUGGGACGUGUCCUGUUUUGUAUGUACCUUAUGAAUAAGGAUCGGCUAACUCCGGUCCAGCAGCCGCGGUAAUACGGAGGAUCCGAGCGUUAUCCGGAUUUAAUGGGUUUAAAGGGUGCGUAGGCGGCCUUUUAAGUCAGCGGUGAAAGUCUGUGGCUCAACCAUAGAAUUGCCGUUGAAACUGGGAGGCUUGAGUAGGUUUGAGGCAGGCGGAAUGCGAGGUGUAGCGGUGAAAUGCUUAGAUAUCACGCAGAACCCCGAUGGCGAAGGCAGCCUGCCAAGCCAUGACUGACGCUGAUGCACGAAAGCGUGGGGAUCAAACAGGAUUAGAUACCCUUGUAGUC